Molecule: ribosomal RNA, 224 nt
Filed under: uncultured Simkania sp.
Lineage: Bacteria; Pseudomonadati; Chlamydiota; Chlamydiia; Parachlamydiales; Simkaniaceae
Description: partial 16S ribosomal RNA
Rfam family: Bacterial small subunit ribosomal RNA
Source: RNAcentral
UUACUACUUAGUGGCGAAAGGGUUAUUAAUACAUGUGUAACGUACCUCUUACCUGGGAAUAACGGUCGAAAACACCGCUAAUACCGAAUGAGGAGAGCUGAGGGUAGCCUGGUUUCAUCAAAGUAGGGGAUUCAGCAAAGAACCUUGCGGUAGGGGAGCGGCUCAUGGGAUAUCAGCUUGUUGGUGUGGUAAGGCCCACCAAGGCUAAGACGUCUAGGCGGGCU